AGUGAACGCUGGCGGCGUGCUUAACACAUGCAAGUCGAACGAGAACGGAAUAUAGCUUGCUAUAUUUGUCAGCUAAGUGGCGCACGGGUGAGUAAUGUAUAGAUAACCUGCCCUUAAGAAAGGAAUAACAGUUGGAAACGACUGCUAAUGCCCUAUAUGCCUUUAAUACAUAAGUAUGCAAGGGAAACGCUUUAGUGCUUAAGGAUGGGUCUGUAUGGUAUCAGCUUGUUGGUGAGGUAAUGGCUCACCAAGGCUAUGACGCCUAACUGGUUUGAGAGGAUGAUCAGUCACACUGGAACUAGGACACGGUCCAGAUUCCUACGGGAGGCAGCAGUGGGGAAUAUUGCACAAUGGACGAAAGUCUGAUGCAGCAACGCCGCGUGGAGGAUGACACAUUUCGGUGCGUAAACUCCUUUUAUAUAGGAAGAUAAUGACGGUACUAUAUGAAUAAGCACCGGCUAACUCCGUGCCAGCCGCCGCCGUAA
RNAcentral lists this ribosomal RNA (485 nucleotides) under uncultured bacterium. RNAcentral describes it as "partial 16S ribosomal RNA". It matches the Rfam family "Bacterial small subunit ribosomal RNA", at positions 29 to 523 of the family's 1533-position model. The record is from RNAcentral.